CGUAGAUCAUCUUCAUCAUGUCGUCGUCUUACCUCUUCACAGCUCUGUUUCUUCUCCUAUUCUACUCGAUCUUCGGUUUGCUUUUUACAAGUGAGAAGUACUAUGGCAUGAGUGGAGUCGGAAAAAGGGAUUGUUAAAUUUGAAAUGGCGGGAAGGACCAGAAGAGGAAGAUCUGAGAGAAAUGAGGAGUUGGAGUCAGUAAGAGAAGAACUAUUCCGAGAAGUAAGAAGGGAGUUGAGAGAGACUGUUCAGUCAAUGAGAGGUCAGGACUCUAGGAGAUCAGGAGGUACCCAGGGCCAUGAGGAUUCAGGCCACUCACAUAGGAGGAGCCUCACUGAAAGGCCAGCAAUGAGCCAAAUGGAAGCAAUGAAGAGGUUCAUGGUGAUGCAGCCUCCAUCUUUUAAUGGAGAGUCCAGUACUGAAGCAGCUGAGCAUUGGUUGAGGAGGAUGAGAAGAAUUCUGGUGGGACUGGACAUACCUGAGGAAAGAAGGGUAAGUUUGGCAGCAUAUAUGCUUGUUGAUAAAGCUGAUUUCUGGUGGGAAUCAAUGAAAAGGGUGUAUGACAUUGAGGUUAUGACCUGGGACGAAUUUGAGAGAAUCUUCCUAGGCAAGUAUUUUGGGGAGGUGGCUAAGCAUGCCAAGAGGAUGGAGUUUGAGCACCUCAUCCAAGGAACCAUGUCGGUGCUGGAGUAUGAGUCACGUUUCUCAGAGUUGUCUCGUUUUGCUUUAGGGAUGAUCAGUGAGGAAGGAGAAAAGGCUAGGAGGUUCCAGCAGGGGUUGAGGCUUGCUAUUAGGAACAGAUUAGUCUCACUGGCAAUAAGGGAUUAUUUUGAGUUGGUUAAGAGGGCUUUGUUGGUGGAACAGGAUAUUGAGGAGACCAACCAAAUUCGGGAGCAAAGGGGGGAUAGAAAAGGGAAACAAAGAAUGGGGGAAAGUUCCCAGGGGAGAUCUCAGGGCCCGCAGCAGAGACAGAGGACUCAGCAGUCUGAGAGGCAUUCCUCAUUCUAUGCAGGAGGUAAGCAGAGUGCUCAGAGGGUGGCUGCUAAUAGAGUAUGUUAUGGUUGUAGAGCGGGAGACCACUUAUGGAGGGCUUGCCCAUUGCGGAGUGUACAGUAGGCUCAACCUCAGUCUCAGGGAAGUUCUCAGCAACAGCCAGUAGUGUCUUUCCAGCUCCCUCAGUUUCAAUUGCCUUACUACCAGAUGCCAUAAUUAUCCCCAGCAGCGCAGGGAACCAGGACAACUACUAUGAGUAGUCAUACCCAUUCUUCUCAAGGGUCAAAUGCUAGAGGUAGGGGAAGGCAGGCAGCAGGAAGAGUUUUUGCCUUGACCCCAAUAGAGCCAGAGGAAGACACCCUUUUGGUGGAAGGUAUGAUUUUGGUAUAUAGUACUUGGGUGCGUGUUUUGUUUGAUACUGGUGCAACUUAUUCUUUCAUUUCUGCAUCUUGUGCUAAUGCAUUGGGGUUGAAAACAGAAAGGGUAGAAAAUUUGUUACUUAUUGAGUCCCCUAUGGGUACGAAUUCUAGAGUUGAUAGAAUAUGCAAGGAGUGUGUUAUUACCUUGGCAGAUAGAGCACUAAAUGUGGAUUUGAGGAUUUUGGAUAUGACUGGGUAUGAUGUUAUCUUGGGAAUGGAUUGGUUGACAGUGUAUAAAGCGGUUAUUGAUUGUCAUCGUCGCAGGAUAAUAUUUUGUCUGCCAGAGGGAUUUGAGGUUUGCUUUGUUGGAGGGAAGUGUGUUAGUUUGCCUUUUUCGCAGUCCGAUCCGUGUUAUCAGUAUGUGUUGAGGAAGGGAUCAAUAAAUUUCCUAGCUUGCUUUCGUGGUAAGGAGAAAGCCCAGAAGGACAUUACAGAAAUUCUAGUAGUGAGAAAGUUUCAGGAUGUAUUCCCAGAUGAGUUACCAGGUUUACUACCGCAUAGAGAGUUUGAUUUCUCUAUUGAAGUAUACCCAGGAACUGAUCCUAUUUCAGUAUCCCCUUAUAGGAUGACCCCUCUUGAGUUGAAGGAAUUGAAAACUCAGUUAGAUGAAUUGUUGGGUAAGGGUUUUAUUCGUCCAAGUACGUCGCCAUGGGGAGCCCCAGUGUUGUUUGUGAAGAAGAAGGAUGACACACUAAUCACAUAUGGGGAAUGAAGUUUACUAGUUAGUGUCAUUAUGGAAUAAAUGCAAAUUUCUCCUAUUGUUGUCCGUAUGUGGUACUCCAUGGGUGAAGAUAUUACCAAUUUGGUAUAUCCACCAAUGUAGAAAAUAACAAGUGAAAAAUAGGGUUGCAACUUGGGCGGUUCCAAACACUUGAUAAUAUGAACAGGCGGUGUCGUUGUUUUGGCCGUGGAUUCCUCUUUGGAAUACAUUUGCUCUCAGAAGUGAAGAAUGAUGUAAUAAGAGAACUUGGUUUUGGUGGGCUAUUGUAAUUAGGUUGUAAGGAGGUGAAUUUAGAUUUAUAUUUUUGGUUGAUAAAAAACACAAACAUUGUUUAUUCCCAACUCGAGUUAUUUGGAGGUAAAAAGGUCCCUUUGACAUAUCAUGAUGUCGGGAUCACGAUGGGCAUCCCACAUGGUGGAAGGAAGUUAAUUGUUGACAAGGGAACUGUUAAAGAUAAUCAAAUGUCGAGUUUGAAGGAUAUAGAGUUAAUGAUGGUUGACAUCGAUGAUAUUGAGGAAUUUAAGCGGGUCUUCUUGAUUUUCACGUGUGCAACCUUAUUGUCACCCACAUUUCGUUUGGAAGGUAGUCACUCGUUAUGGUAUACACCAUGAGAGCAGUUACUUGGGAACAUAAAUUGGAGAGAAUUUGUCUUAGAAUUUUCUAUUCAAGCUAUACAUGAACAUAGGAGGAAGGAAAAUGUUUGGAUUAAAGGGUGUUUGAUGUUUCUACAGAUAUUCUACUUUUCAAUAUAUAAUUUUUCAGCCAUGUAUGUGGAACUUACCACUCCUCGCAUUGCUGCAUGGAACGAUUUUUUGGUGAAAUAACGCAUAAAGUUGGAGUUGGAAAUGCUUGGAGGAUUUGGCAAAGUUGAGGUAUAACUAGUUGUUAGUUAUAUUAAGAUAAUUGAUUAACAUUAUAAUUGGAUUAUUGGGAUGACAAUUUACAUGUUUUGUAAUGAUAGUUGGUUAACACAUUAACGGAGCAAGAUCAAACAUAAAGAAAUGAGGCUCUUGCAGUUAAUGGCCUAGUUGACCCAAAUGAGAUUGAAGACUUUAAUGUAAUCCUUCAUACCUAAUGACUAUGAAGAGUAGCUUAUAUUAAAUCUUAGUUUAAAUAUAUGUCAUUUAAUGUUCCUUCA
RNA transcript from Vitis riparia (riverbank grape), 3271 nucleotides. RefSeq lists it as uncharacterized. NCBI's taxonomy places the organism in Eukaryota, Viridiplantae, Streptophyta, Magnoliopsida, Vitales, Vitaceae. The transcript is spliced from 5 exons. The record is from RefSeq and is a predicted model, not a curated record.